UCCAUUGUAGUCUACUUGGCUCUCACCCGAGAGACCCGGGUUCGAGUCCCGGCAAGGGAA
RNAcentral lists this transfer RNA (60 nucleotides) under Gossypium hirsutum (cotton). It matches the Rfam family "tRNA". Rfam says of the family: Transfer RNA (tRNA) molecules are approximately 80 nucleotides in length. Their secondary structure includes four short double-helical elements and three loops (D, anti-codon, and T loops). The record is from Rfam by way of RNAcentral. Lineage: Eukaryota; Viridiplantae; Streptophyta; Magnoliopsida; Malvales; Malvaceae.